CAAAAGAGAGUUGCAAAACUCCCUAAACCCACUGUGAAUCUACCGUUUUGUUGCUUCGGCAGGCGGCCCCAGGGCGGGGCCAUGGCCUACACUUUUAGGUGCGGGUGCCUGCCGGAGGAUUUUAAAACUCUUGUUUUUAAUUGUGUAUUCUGAGUAUUACCAAAAAAAAUGAAUCA
This 176-nucleotide unclassified non-coding RNA is filed under the name uncultured Sordariomycetes. RNAcentral describes it as "sequence contains ITS1". The record is from RNAcentral. Lineage: Eukaryota; Fungi; Ascomycota; Sordariomycetes.